CUGGCGGCGACCGGCGCACGGGUGCGUAACAGGUGUGCAAUCUGUCCAUAGUCGGGGAAUAGCCCAGCGAAAGUUGGAUUAAUGCUCCAUGUGAAGAGAAGCCGCAUGACUUUUCUUUGAAACGUAAGGACUAUGGGUGAGCACGCUUCUGAUUAGAUAGUUGGUGAGGUAACGGCUCACCAAGUCGACGAUCAGUAGGGGUUCUGAGAGGAAGGUCCCCCACAUUGGAACUGAGACACGGUCCAAACUCCUACGGGAGGCAGCAGUGAGGAAUAUUGGUCAAUGGGCGAGAGCCUGAACCAGCCAAGUCGCGUGAAGGAUGAAGGUUCUAUGGAUUGUAAACUUCUUUUGUCCGAGGGUAAAAAGGCCACGUGUGGCUUCUUGCAAGUAUCGGACGAAUAAGCAUCGGCUAACUCCGUGCC
This 422-nucleotide ribosomal RNA is filed under the name uncultured bacterium. RNAcentral's name for it is "bacterial SSU rRNA". It matches the Rfam family "Bacterial small subunit ribosomal RNA", at positions 85 to 509 of the family's 1533-position model. The record is from RNAcentral.